This is a non-coding RNA of Paramuricea clavata, 448 nucleotides long. The record is from the annotation of a GenBank genome assembly. NCBI's taxonomy places the organism in Eukaryota, Metazoa, Cnidaria, Anthozoa, Malacalcyonacea, Plexauridae.
UGAGAACCAUGAGUGCUGGAAAUAUACAAAAUCAGUGCCUUUUUUAACUAUAUAUCUGGGGGGGCAAUUGCCCCCCCCAGGGAAAGAAUUCCCCCCCCCCCCAGUAAAGCCAUUUCUGCCCCCGAAGUGCGAAGCAGAAUAGCUCAUGAUUGCUGUCAGAAUUGCAGUUGAUUUACUUGAUAAUGAGAUUAUGCCCUUCCAUAGCCCCCUCCACAGUCAUCUUGUGUGUAAUUCAUAUUGUUCUUCACCGAGUAUUUCAUAAUAGCGAUAGAUUUCAUGCAAACAAUACGAUAAAAUGCUGGUUCCAAGAAGAAUAGAUUUAGUUUUGAUUUUUAACUGUUAAAUACAUGUAUGCAUCAUCAUAGCAUGAAUAUUUCUUCUCAGAUUUAUUCUGUAUCGUAUGAAAAAGCAACGCAAUUUUGAGAAUGCGGAAAUGGUGUCUCACAGA